UUGAUGGGCGACCGGCGCACGGGUGCGUAACGCGUAUGGCAACCUACCUUUUUACAGGGGCAUAACACUGAGAAAUUGGUACUAAUUCCCCAUAAUAUCUGAGACGGCAUCGUUUUAGGGUUGAAAACUCCGGUGGUAAAAGAUGGGCAUGCGUUGUAUUAGCUAGUUGGUGAGGUAACGGCUCACCAAGGCGACGAUACAUAGGGGGACUGAGAGGUUAACCCCCCACAUUGGUACUGAGACACGGACCAAACUCCUACGGAAGGCAGCAG
Molecule: ribosomal RNA, 272 nt
Filed under: uncultured bacterium
Lineage: Bacteria
Description: partial 16S ribosomal RNA
Rfam family: Bacterial small subunit ribosomal RNA
Source: RNAcentral